UACGUAGGGUGCGAGCGUUAAUCGGAAUUACUGGGCGUAAAGCGUGCGCAGGCGGUUGGUCGUGUCCUGUGUGAAAGCCCCGGGCUUAACCUGGGAAUGGCAUGGGAGAACUGGCUAGCUGGAGUGUGGCAGAGGGGGGUGGGAAGUUCCGCGUGUAGCAGUGAAAUGCGUAGAUAUCGAGGAGGAAUACCGAUGGCGAAGGCAGGUCUGCUGGGCUGAUACUGACGCUCAUGCACGAAAGCGUGGGGAGCAAACAGG
This 258-nucleotide ribosomal RNA is filed under the name uncultured bacterium. Its description in RNAcentral is "partial 16S ribosomal RNA". It matches the Rfam family "Bacterial small subunit ribosomal RNA", at positions 524 to 776 of the family's 1533-position model. The record is from RNAcentral.